GACGAACGCUGGCGGCGUGCUUAACACAUGCAAGUCGAACGGAAAGGCCCUGCUUUUGUGGGGUGCUCGAGUGGCGAACGGGUGAGUAACACGUGAGUAACCUGCCCUUGACUUUGGGAUAACUUCAGGAAACUGGGGCUAAUACCGGAUAGGAGCUCCUGCUGCAUGGUGGGGGUUGGAAAGUUUCGGCGGUUGGGGAUGGACUCGCGGCUUAUCAGCUUGUUGGUGGGGUAGUGGCUUACCAAGGCUUUGACGGGUAGCCGGCCUGAGAGGGGGACCGGCGACAUUGGGACUGAGAGACGGCCCAGACGCCUACGGGAGGCAGCAGUGGGGAAUAUUGCACAAUGGGCGGAAGCCUGAUGCAGCAACGCCGCGUGCGGGAUGACGGCCUUCGGGUUGUAAACCGCUUUCGCCUGUGACGAAGCGUGAGUGACGGUAAUGGGUAAAGAAGCACCGGCUAACUACGUG
This 468-nucleotide ribosomal RNA is filed under the name uncultured bacterium. RNAcentral describes it as "partial 16S ribosomal RNA". It matches the Rfam family "Bacterial small subunit ribosomal RNA", at positions 28 to 507 of the family's 1533-position model. The record is from RNAcentral.